This is a long non-coding RNA of Myotis daubentonii (Daubenton's bat), 1836 nucleotides long. RefSeq lists it as uncharacterized. NCBI's taxonomy places the organism in Eukaryota, Metazoa, Chordata, Mammalia, Chiroptera, Vespertilionidae. The record is from RefSeq and is a predicted model, not a curated record.
GUUAGUGCUGAUUUUCAUUUGCAUACAUUUUCAUAUAUUUUGGUGAAAAUAAUAGACUAGUGGAGAGCUGGGCUCGGAGGAGUCAGUGUGAAGGGAAGGCUAAGGAUGCAUCGUUCUGGGGAGUUGAGAAUAUGCGUUCACCGCCUCCCGUCACUUGAUUGAAAAAAAAAAUCUCUUAUUUUAAAAUCUAACCCCAGAAGUUUGUUGGACCAUCAUGGAGACCAGAAAACGAGGCGAGGAAACUGACAACUCAAAGAAGAUGCCUGACUUUCCCCAGGCCCUGUGGCACGCGGCAGAACUGGGGUGCUUCUGAGGCGGCAGGCUGGUCUCGCCCCUGGAGGUGAUGGGUUUCUCUCACAGAAAACAGCGGCGAGGGUAUUGAAAGAUGGUCUUCAAGCUCCUGGGACAGAAGGUCAUGGAGCUCCACCCGAUAGCUCAGUGCAUCGCGUGGAGUGGAUGCGCCACUGUCCCCGGAGUUGGAUGUCAGUAGCUACGGAGCCCGGCGUGGCAUUUACCACUUUCAGAGCUGGCAGCCUCGCCGAGGAGACGGGACAAGUACUCAGGAAGCAAUCCCUGUAGCUGCUAAACUGGGAUUGUGCUGAGGACACCAAAGAGGCCUGCCCUCUGGCUCCUCCCUUCAGAUUGGAGCCGCGGGUACUCCGCUCACCUGCUUUGUGCACAGAGAGUGAAGAGCUGAAUGGGAACAUUUAGAUGCAAAAACAAAAAUGCAUUUGGAUGUUUCUGGGCUCCAGAGCCAGCAAGGAAGGAAGGAUUUGGCUUGUGGUAUCCGUGCCCAGGUGGGACACUGCCUGCCCCUGAGGCCCAGCCGCCCCCUCCGGCACCCACAGCACCGUAGGGCGGUGGGGAUCCUGGGCCCGAGGUCUUGGUCUUCCCAUCAAAGCUAGAGUCUGCACAAGGCUCCGCACCCAGACAGCCCUGGGAAACUUCCUACUAAGAGAGGCAUCUAGAAGCGUGUGGCCAGCAGCCAGCUUCCCCAAAGCCCCUUUCACUUUCUCCUUAGACAUGAAGCCAACUAGCUGGAGACUCCACUUCAGGACAGAGACUAAGUUAUUGCCUCUGAAAUGUGAGUAGAAGUGAUACGUGCAGCGUCUACUUCCUGUUUUCACUGGAAAUCGCUCUUCCCAGCCUUCCUGUGGCCUGGGACCUGGAUGUGCUGGUGACGCCAUUAAACCAGGCAGUGGAGCAGACGAGCAGCCCUGGAGGCAGGUCUGGCCUCUUCUUCUCGGAGAAACGGGCCAGCCCGCAGCCGGGCCAGCUCCAGGGCGUUCCGAGAAAGGGAAGGCAGUCCAGCCUUGAGAGCCACUGUAUUUUGGGAUCUGUUGGAUCAAAGAGCAAAGUUUUUUACCUUGAAAAAUAUAGACCAUGUCUGGGCGUGGAAGUAGAGCACUGGCUGCAAGUCAGUAGCUCGCAUCCCUUCAUCCUCCCCUGCUGUCCGUCCUCCCGCACAUGCCUAUUGAGCACCCACUCGGUCUGAGCAACAUGAAGCUGCCGGUGAGGUAAGCAGCAGAGCCAUGGCCCCCUCCUCCUGAAGCCGGCAUCCUCGUAGGGCAGACAGACCGAAACAUGCAGCCAGACUAAUUAAAACACCCACAGACCUGUUUCUGGAGAAAGAACUGGGAAAAGGUAACAGUGUCUUUCCACAGGCUACAGUAGUCCUGGCAGGGGAGGCUGGGAAAACGUACAAAAAAAUCACAGCAGAACUUCUCUAAUCACAUAGCAUUUGAAUUCAAUGAAAGAUAAUAAGUCUCAGGAGUUUUCAGAGUUAGGAAGCGGGUUUCCGAGGCACCAUGCUGUCCGCUUCCGAGCAUGCUGGAA